GAAGAUCAAACUGAAGAUCGAGCUGUAGAACUACCGAGCUAACCGAGCUUUCUCUUCUCCGAACUGAAGAUUUCGUCAAGAUUUCUUGUUGCAGAACUUGAUUUCAGACAAAUUUAGGGUUUACCGGAAGUAUAAUCAACAUAUAGAAAUAUUUUUGGAGGAUUCAAGGUUUGAUUUGGCAUAGCACAAGAGCCAUGACUAGGU
RNAcentral lists this unclassified non-coding RNA (204 nucleotides) under Hevea brasiliensis (rubber tree). Lineage: Eukaryota; Viridiplantae; Streptophyta; Magnoliopsida; Malpighiales; Euphorbiaceae. The record is from RNAcentral.